GAUGAACGCUGGCGGCGUGCCUAAUACAUGCAAGUCGAGCGAACAGAUGCGGAGCUUGCUCCUCUGACGUUAGCGGCGGACGGGUGAGUAACACGUGGAUCAUCUACUUAUAAGACUGGGAUAACUUCGGGAAACCGGAGCUAAUACCGGAUAAUAUAUUGAACCGCAUGGUUCAAUAGUGAAAGACGGUUUUGCUGUCACUUAUAGCUGGAUCCGCGCCGCAUUAGCUAGUUGGUAAGGUAACGGCUUACCAAGGCAACGAUGCGUAGCCGACCUGAGAGGGUGAUCGGCCACACUAGAACGGAGACACGGUCCAGGCGCCUACGGGAGGCAGCAGAAGGGAAUCUGCCGCAAUGGGCGAAAGCCUGACGGAGCAACGCCGCGUGAGUUAUGAAGGUCUUCGGAUCGUAAAACUCUGUUAUUAGGGAAGAACAAAUGUGGAAGUAACUAUGCACGUCUUGACGGCACCUAAUCAGAAAGCCACGGCUAACUACGUG
Molecule: ribosomal RNA, 497 nt
Filed under: uncultured bacterium
Lineage: Bacteria
Description: partial 16S ribosomal RNA
Rfam family: Bacterial small subunit ribosomal RNA
Source: RNAcentral